CUGUGAAAGCCCGGGGCUUAACUCCGGGUGUGCAGUGGGUACGGGCAGGCUAGAGUGCAGUAGGGGAGACUGGAAUUCCUGGUGUAGCGGUGAAAUGCGCAGAUAUCAGGAGGAACACCGAUGGCGAAGGCAGGUCUCUGGGCUGUUACUGACGCUGAGAAGCGAAAGCAUGGGUAGCGAACAGGAUUAGAUACCCUGGUAGUCCAUGCCGUAAACGUUGGGCACUAGGUGUGGGGGACAUUCCACGUUUUCCGCGCCGUAGCUAACGCAUUAAGUGCCCCGCCUGGGGAGUACGGCCGCAAGGCUAAAACUCAAAGGAAUUGACGGGGGCCCGCACAAGCGGCGGAGCAUGCGGAUUAAUUCGAUGCAACGCGAAGAACCUUACCAAGGCUUGACAUACACCGGACCGCGCUGGGGACAGCGUUUCCCUUCGGGGCUGGUGUACAGGUGGUGCAUGGUUGUCGUCAGCUCGUGUCGUGAGAUGUUGGGUUAAGUCCCGCAACGAGCGCAACCCUUAUCCUAUGUUGCCAGCACGUGAUGGUGGGGACUCAUGGGAGACUGCCGGGGUCAACUCGGAGGAAGGUGGGGAUGACGUCAAAUCAUCAUGCCCCUUAUGUCUUGGGCUUCACGCAUGCUACAAUGGCCGGUACAGUGGGUUGCGAUGCCGUGAGGUGGAGCUAAUCCCUAAAAGCCGGUCUCAGUUCGGAUCGAAGUCUGCAACUCGACUUCGUGAAGUUGGAGUCGCUAGUAAUCGCAGAUCAGCAAUGCUGCGGUGAAUAC
Molecule: ribosomal RNA, 780 nt
Filed under: uncultured bacterium
Lineage: Bacteria
Description: bacterial SSU rRNA
Rfam family: Bacterial small subunit ribosomal RNA
Source: RNAcentral